RNAcentral lists this ribosomal RNA (471 nucleotides) under uncultured bacterium. RNAcentral describes it as "bacterial SSU rRNA". It matches the Rfam family "Bacterial small subunit ribosomal RNA", at positions 15 to 518 of the family's 1533-position model. The record is from RNAcentral.
GAUCCUGGCUCAGAAUCAACGCUGGCGGCGUGCCUAACACAUGCAAGUCGAACGAGAAAGUGGAGCAAUCCAUGAGUAAAGUGGCGUACGGGUGAGUAACACGUGACUAACCUACCCUUGAGUGGGGGAUAACUUCGGGAAACCGAGGCUAAUACCGCAUAAUACCGAGAGGUCAAAGGAGCAAUUCGCUUAAGGAGGGGGUCGCGGCUGAUUAGCUAGUUGGUAGGGUAAUGGCCUACCAAGGCAAUGAUCAGUAUCCGGCCUGAGAGGGCGCACGGACACACUGGAACUGAAACACGGUCCAGACUCCUACGGGAGGCAGCAGUGGGGAAUUUUGCACAAUGGGGGAAACCCUGAUGCAGCAACGCCGCGUGGAGGAUGAAGUCCCUUGGGAUGUAAACUCCUUUCGACCGGGACGAUAAUGACGGUACCGGUGGAAGAAGCCCCGGCUAACUCUGUGCCAGCAGCAGC